UACAGCUCUUCAUCAUUCAGCGCCGCGCGCAGGCGGCGGCAGAUCGUUUUAUCCGCCAGACGUUUCGCCACCAGCG
RNAcentral lists this transfer RNA (76 nucleotides) under Salmonella sp. FORC89. RNAcentral's name for it is "tRNA-Glu". Lineage: Bacteria; Pseudomonadati; Pseudomonadota; Gammaproteobacteria; Enterobacterales; Enterobacteriaceae. The record is from RNAcentral.